CCUACGGGUGGCAGCAGUGGGGAAUAUUGCGCAAUGGGCGAAAGCCUGACGCAGCGACGCCGCGUGAGGGAUGAAGGUCUUCGGAUCGUAAACCUCUGUCAGCAGGGAAGAACGGUCACUGUGCUAAUCAGCAGUGAAUUGACGGUACCUGCAAAGGAAGCACCGGCUAACUCCGUGCCAGCAGCCGCGGUAAUACGGAGGGUGCGCGCGUUAAUCGGAAUUACUGGGCGUAAAGCGGUCGUAGGCGGUAUGUCAAGUCAAGGGGGAAAUCCCCGCGCUCAACGUGGGAACUGCCUUUGAAACUGGCAAACUGGAGUGUGGGAGAGGAUAGUGGAAUUCCAGGUGUAGGAGUGAAAUCCGUAGAUAUCUGGAGGAACAUCAGUGGCGAAGGCGACUAUCUGGCACAUAACUGACGCUGAGGAGCGAAAGCGUGGGUAGCAAACAGGAUUAGAUACCCGUGUAGUC
Molecule: ribosomal RNA, 465 nt
Filed under: uncultured bacterium
Lineage: Bacteria
Description: partial 16S ribosomal RNA
Rfam family: Bacterial small subunit ribosomal RNA
Source: RNAcentral